This 1051-nucleotide ribosomal RNA is filed under the name Enterococcus sp. H-VRE-26b. RNAcentral describes it as "bacterial SSU rRNA". It matches the Rfam family "Bacterial small subunit ribosomal RNA", at positions 46 to 1063 of the family's 1533-position model. Lineage: Bacteria; Bacillati; Bacillota; Bacilli; Lactobacillales; Enterococcaceae. The record is from RNAcentral.
GCCUAAUACAUGCAAGUCGAACGCUUCUUUUUCCACCGGAGCUUGCUCCACCGGAAAAAGAGGAGUGGCGAACGGGUGAGUAACACGUGGGUAACCUGCCCAUCAGAAGGGGAUAACACUUGGAAACAGGUGCUAAUACCGUAUAACAAUCRAAACCGCAUGGUUUUGAUUUGAAAGGCGCUUUCGGGUGUCGCUGAUGGAUGGACCCGCGGUGCAUUAGCUAGUUGGUGAGGUAACGGCUCACCAAGGCCACGAUGCAUAGCCGACCUGAGAGGGUGAUCGGCCACAUUGGGACUGAGACACGGCCCAAACUCCUACGGGAGGCAGCAGUAGGGAAUCUUCGGCAAUGGACGAAAGUCUGACCGAGCAACGCCGCGUGAGUGAAGAAGGUUUUCGGAUCGUAAAACUCUGUUGUUAGAGAAGAACAAGGAUGAGAGUAACUGUUCAUCCCUUGACGGUAUCUAACCAGAAAGCCACGGCUAACUACGUGCCAGCAGCCGCGGUAAUACGUAGGUGGCAAGCGUUGUCCGGAUUUAUUGGGCGUAAAGCGAGCGCAGGCGGUUUCUUAAGUCUGAUGUGAAAGCCCCCGGCUCAACCGGGGAGGGUCAUUGGAAACUGGGAGACUUGAGUGCAGAAGAGGAGAGUGGAAUUCCAUGUGUAGCGGUGAAAUGCGUAGAUAUAUGGAGGAACACCAGUGGCGAAGGCGGCUCUCUGGUCUGUAACUGACGCUGAGGCUCGAAAGCGUGGGGAGCAAACAGGAUUAGAUACCCUGGUAGUCCACGCCGUAAACGAUGAGUGCUAAGUGUUGGAGGGUUUCCGCCCUUCAGUGCUGCAGCUAACGCAUUAAGCACUCCGCCUGGGGAGUACGACCGCAAGGUUGAAACUCAAAGGAAUUGACGGGGGCCCGCACAAGCGGUGGAGCAUGUGGUUUAAUUCGAAGCAACGCGAAGAACCUUACCAGGUCUUGACAUCCUUUUGACCACUCUAGAAAAUAGAGCUUCCCCUUCGGGGGCAAAGUGACAGGUGGGUGCAUGGGUUGUCGUCAGCUCCG